RNAcentral lists this microRNA precursor (87 nucleotides) under Oryza sativa (Asian cultivated rice). RNAcentral's name for it is "miR5803 stem-loop (osa-MIR5803)". Lineage: Eukaryota; Viridiplantae; Streptophyta; Magnoliopsida; Poales; Poaceae. The record is from miRBase by way of RNAcentral.
UAAUGUUACUACCACUGUAGACGCUACGUGUGAGAUAAUAGGAGGAUAUAACCCACGUAUCAGCGCCUGUAAUGAUAGUGACAUUAU